CAAUAGCGUAUAUUAAAGUUGUUGCGGUUAAAAAGCUCGUAGUUGGAUUUCUGCCGAGGACGACCGGUCCGCCCUCCGGGUGAGUAUCUGGCUCGGCCUGGGCAUCUUCUUGGAGAACGUAACUGCACUUGGCUGUGUGGUGCGGUAUUCAGGACUUUUACUUUGAGGAAAUUAGAGUGUUUCAAGCAGGCACACGCCUUGAAUACAUUAGCAUGGAAUAAUAAGAUAGGACCUCGGUUCUAUUUUGUUGGUUUCUAGAUCUGAGGUAAUGAUUAAUAGGGAUAGUUGGGGGCAUUCGUAUUUAACUGUCAGAGGUGAAAUUCUUGGAUUUGUUAAAGACGGACUACUGCGAANGNAUUUGGNAAGGAUGUUUNCAUUG
Molecule: ribosomal RNA, 379 nt
Filed under: uncultured eukaryote
Lineage: Eukaryota
Description: partial 18S ribosomal RNA
Rfam family: Eukaryotic small subunit ribosomal RNA
Source: RNAcentral